Non-coding RNA from Sarcophilus harrisii (Tasmanian devil), 130 nucleotides. Lineage: Eukaryota; Metazoa; Chordata; Mammalia; Dasyuromorphia; Dasyuridae. The record is from Rfam.
AAAGCAAAGACUCCUCUCCAAUUCUGUGGACCCUGUGUCCAACUUUCAGGUGCUGCUAAGAGCAGGAGAAAUGAAAUCUCAAGUUGAAACUCCAAUGUGGUUCUAAUAUAGAAACUGGGCAUGCUCAGUA